This is a long non-coding RNA of Chinchilla lanigera (long-tailed chinchilla), 1239 nucleotides long. RefSeq lists it as uncharacterized. The record is from RefSeq and is a predicted model, not a curated record. NCBI's taxonomy places the organism in Eukaryota, Metazoa, Chordata, Mammalia, Rodentia, Chinchillidae. The transcript has 3 exons.
ACCAAGGGCCCUACAAGACACAUGACCUUCCUGCUCACAACAUAAAGCUCAGUUCUCUCUGGCCUCUACAGUUUGGCUCAGCACCAGGGAAGCCAUGACCCUCCAAGAACAAAGUGCCGCUCCAAUGGCAGCUUCCUUCCACAGCUUCAGCAGCCGAACCAAAGACUCCUUGAACUCCUAUGUAAGAGGGUCUGGAAAGCUCAACAAUUUCCAACAACCCUACCAGGAUAUCUUCCAAGAAAGUCUCACCAUCCCACAGAAGCCCUCCACCUGAUGUCCUGCAGUGCCACGCUCCGUGUAUUUGACAAGCUGAGUUGGACACUCCAUGUGGUAGAGUGUCAGUUUGUCAAAUACCCCAAGUGCGGCACGUGCCUAGCAGCUCCAAACUGGGGCCGAUUGGAUGCAAGAAACCGACUGCUGGUUGGCUAAAGGAUGCUCACCCCAAACCAAACUUUUCCAAGUCAUAUUUCUGAGAUUUUGAGGGAACCAAGGCACGGCAACUGAGGGUGUUGAGGUGAGGGGGUGAGGGCGGUCUCUGAGCUCCAGCCCUGGGCUGUGUCUACACACAUUUUGAGAACGCUGGGAAGCACACAAUAAUCUUUAAAAAAAGAGGAUAUGGGGACACAGGUGUUCUUAAAUUCUUUUUUUAUUCUUUUCUUCCUUCACAUUCCCUUUCCAGUCUUACAGCCAGGACACCAGAAUUCUCACACAAUUUUUAUGGCUUAUGUGACAAAGCAGGUCACAGAAAUUCACUUUCUCCUCACUCGUUCUUACCUUCUAAACAAAUUUUGACAUUUCCCAUCUUUUUGCUUUUCCUCUUUCCUUUUCUCCUUCUCAGAACAUCUGUGUUUCUCCAUGCCUGUCCAUUUCUGCUCUGUAUUUCCUGGUCCCACCAAAGUUCAGUCUCUUGGGGACUUUUGACAGUUAAACUAUGCUUUUACUUUCUUCAUUCACAAAACACUCCUUGCCUGUGUCCUGCUAUGUGCUACUAUAUCUCCAACCACCCAAUAUAAACUUUUAGAUUGUCACUGAUACUUGUCACGGGGGUAUGCUUGAAUUCCCCAUUACAUGUGAGCUUCUAGAAGGUAAAACUCUUUAAUUGAUUGCUGCUUCCCCUACAAUAGCCCAUUAUUUUGAUGUAACAAAACAUUUAGAGGCCGACCAUAUAGCUCAGCAGCAUAAGUGCCUUCCUGGCAAGCACAAGGUCCUGAGUUUGAUUCCCAGUAACCCCCCAAAGCA